Molecule: non-coding RNA, 30 nt
Filed under: Rattus norvegicus (Norway rat)
Lineage: Eukaryota; Metazoa; Chordata; Mammalia; Rodentia; Muridae
Source: RNAcentral
UAAAUCUUGUGUCUCUGGACAGAGUAGAUU